UGGCUCAGAUGGUAAAGCGUCUGUCUACAAUGCAGGAGACCCAGGUUCGAUCCCUGG
This 57-nucleotide transfer RNA is filed under the name Ovis aries (sheep). It matches the Rfam family "tRNA", at positions 8 to 63 of the family's 71-position model. Rfam says of the family: Transfer RNA (tRNA) molecules are approximately 80 nucleotides in length. The record is from Rfam by way of RNAcentral. Lineage: Eukaryota; Metazoa; Chordata; Mammalia; Artiodactyla; Bovidae. RNAcentral also lists the same sequence under 1 other name.